CCCGGCCCAAAGAAAAUUCAGUUGUGUUUACCAGAACUAAAACUAGAACCCUUUCAGCUAAUGGUGCCUGGCACAUAACAGGCCUGAAAAUGAUAAAUUUUUUCCCCUGACUCCUUAUCAGUAGUCAUAGUCAUUUGUUGACACCACUCCAAAAAUAAGAGUAAAAUAAAGACUAGGUACACAAAGGGUCAGGAAAGUUAUCAAGGACAUAGGAGAGAUGACGCCAAGCCAGAGGAAAUGGAGCUUCACAGGAAACAUAACAAAAUCCGAAGAGGGAAGAGGACAAAGAAACUGAACAGUCUCUUAACUGCCUGGUCAGUGGCACUGGACCAGUGUUGGAGAGAUGCUGAGAGGAGCAAAGCCCUGAUUCACACAGUGGUCUGGAGUGACCUCAAGGGAGAAGCCCAUCUACCUACACCAGACAUGGCUUAUGAGGGAGGGACCGAGAAGAGCCUGCCUGUACCCAUAAGCUGUGCCAAGGACUUAUACCAUGUCACACCAGCAUUGGACGAGACCUUAGAGAUUACUUAAUCUGUCACCCAUCUCCACUUCCUGUAUACUCGGAUUACAGGAACAUACCACCACUCUUUGAUUAUGCUGGGGAUUGAACCCAGGGCUUUAUGAAUGCUAGGCAAAGACUCUACCAAUUGAACUACAUCCUUAGCCCUUUCAUACGGUGAUGUUGAAUUGAGUUUGAGUUCCAGCACCGCCUCCUACCAGUUAUACCAUUUGAGCCUUGAACUCUUCAUCUUAAAAAUGGACAUAACAGUUGGCAUGACAGCUCAGUGGAUAAAGAUGCUUGCUACCAAGCCGGACAACCCAAGUUCAAGCCCUAGGACCUACCUGGUGGAAGUAGAGAAAGGACUCUCACAAGUUGUUCUCUGAACUUUCUAUGUGAUACACUCAUCCCACAAAUAAUAACUAACCAAAUAAGUCUAAUAAAUAGAUUAUUGGGCCAGUGAGAUGACUCUAUGUAAAGAAGUUCUGCCACCAGGAAUGGUCACCUGAGUCUGAUUCCCGAGAUUCACCCGCACAAUGGAAGGAGAAAACUGACCUCCCCAAGUUGUCUUCUGAUCUCCAUAUGAGAGCUGUGCGUGUGCACACCAAUACAAC
This 1113-nucleotide long non-coding RNA is filed under the name Cricetulus griseus (Chinese hamster). Its description in RNAcentral is "lncRNA (ENSCGRG00000026267.1)". The record is from RNAcentral. Lineage: Eukaryota; Metazoa; Chordata; Mammalia; Rodentia; Cricetidae.